RNAcentral lists this ribosomal RNA (369 nucleotides) under uncultured eukaryote. Its description in RNAcentral is "partial 18S ribosomal RNA". It matches the Rfam family "Eukaryotic small subunit ribosomal RNA", at positions 592 to 975 of the family's 1831-position model. The record is from RNAcentral.
CAAUAGCGUAUAUUAAAGUUGUUGCAGUUAAAAAGCUCGUAGUUGGAUUUCUGGUCGGAAGCUCCUGUCCUCUGAUGAGCGUACAAGUGCGUCCUACCAUCCUUCUGUUAACCUUUAAGGCUUUCGCGGCUUUCUAGGGGCUCAGAUAUUUUACCUUGAGAAAAUUAGAGUGUUUCAGGCAGGCUAGCGCCGGAAUACAUUAGCAUGGAAUAAUGGAAUAGGACUUUUGCCUCUUCUGUUGGUCAUGAGGCUCGAGUAAUGAUUAAUAGGGAUAGUUGGGGGCAUUAGUACUUAACUGUCAGAGGUGAAAUUCUCGGAUUUGUUAAAGACUAACUUAUGCGAAAGCAUUUGCCAAGGAUGUUUUCAUUG